GUCCUUUUUCAUGCCUGAGGGAGCAGAUGUGAUUGCCUGUGAUUGAAGCCAGUGGAGAGUUAUAAACUAUUUUUGUUCUACCAUGGAUGAUGCCUAAACUCUUCCACUCUUCCACAGCUGAACAUACUGACUUGUGGAGUCAUUGGCUCCUAUUCGGUGGUUUUAGCCAUUGACAGUUACUUGUCCACAAGCCUUUCCUACAUCACUUUGAACGUACUCAAGAGAGCGCUCAACAAGGAUUUCCACAGAGCUUUCACAAAUGUGCCUUUUCAAACGAAUGACUUUAUUAUCCUGGCAGUAUGGGGCAUGCUGGCUGUAAGUGGAAUUACGUUACAGAUUCGAAGAGAGAGAGGACGACCAUUCUUCCCUCCCCACCCAUACAAGUUAUGGAAGCAAGAGAGAGAGCGCCGAG
Molecule: small RNA, 412 nt
Filed under: Pongo abelii (Sumatran orangutan)
Lineage: Eukaryota; Metazoa; Chordata; Mammalia; Primates; Hominidae
Description: retained intron
Source: RNAcentral